Molecule: long non-coding RNA, 2201 nt
Filed under: Mytilus galloprovincialis (Mediterranean mussel)
Lineage: Eukaryota; Metazoa; Mollusca; Bivalvia; Mytilida; Mytilidae
Source: RNAcentral
GAGAAAUAACAGUGCUAAUGCAUAUAUUUAUAUAUAUUUAGUACUAUCUACCAAAUUCAAUUUAAACUUAGAAAAAAAAAUUGUGAUAGCUAUGAAAGUUGUUUGUAAAGUCAUUGUAAGCAAGCAGAAGCCUAACUGAUCUAUGGGUUUUAUAAGUUAACUGUAUUUAACUGAAUUGGAUUUCAAAACUUCAACAAUUUUAAGAACCAUAACUUCAACAAUGAGCUCCGCCCAUACUGCAUAGUAAGUUAUAAAAGGCCCCUAGAUGACAAUUGUAAAACAAUUCAAACAAUAAAACUGACAUUUUAUUUAUUUACAAAAUAAUGAAUGAAAAACAAAUAGUAACAGUACAACACAAGAACAACUUAACUCAGAUGGAUACACAUAGAAAUACAUAUAACAAAACACACAGUGGACGUGGCAAGAUACUUGUUCACCCAAAUAACAUAAAAAAUACAGAUAUGACUACUAGCAGUUAUUGACAGCUUGUCCAAGGCUGAUAACAAUUGAUUAAAAAAUAUCAUGCAUCUAAAACUAAUAUAUGUAAAUUAUAGAUAUGUGUUGGGUUUAUUUAAAUAUUUAUGCUUUUUCAUGCUUGAAAUAUCUGUAUAAUUAAUUGUUUACCCCACUGUGAUACAUAUUUUUCAAAUGUUUCUUUAAAUGAUAUUUAGAUUUGUGUUUAGAAUAUUUUUAUAGCAUUUUUCCUGUUGGCCCUCUUAUCAGCCCUAAGUCUAUAUUGUCCUCUGGCUAUUGGAGUCUGAGCCAGAGUGUGAUACCAGAGCCUGAUUGAACUGAUCUUUAUACUGAAGCUAUAAUAGUGAAGGGAAUGAGACAUUUUAAAAAAAGGGUCAAAAGAUCAAUGGUGAAGGUUACUGGUAAAUUUCAGAGGAAACAAUGAAAAAAAAGUAGUUUCCUGCUGGUACCACUGGUUUUCAUAAGCUUUACUUGAUUUUAUUGAAAGUACACAGAUGGACAAGUUUGAAAAGCAACAUAGGCAUAAUGAUAGUUAGGUACAAGGCCAAGCUGACUAUUUGGAAAUGAGUGAUAAAUGUAACGUUCUGACAUUUUCGUGGUAUGAUUAGAAUAAAACGUGCACAAAUUGAAGAUGUAGGAAAGGGGAUGCAGCCUUGUGGGGUUCAUGCUGUAAAUCUCAAGGUCACUGAAAUUUUACUACAAAGAACAAUUCUUCCAAUAUGUGAUUUAAAGAUAGCAGACUUAGUUGUCCCUGCUUGUGUUAUUUUUUAAUUAAUCAAGAUGGUAGAUUUGUAAUGCAUGUUUUGUAUUGAUAAUUAUUGACAUUUUGCUUAUUGUUAUCUUAUGUUGUAUCAACUGCUUUAGUGUGACGUGUGAAAUUUAUAUUUUUUUCUCAAUGAAUAUUUACCAGUUGUUCCGAGAACACAGUUAUUAUUCUUUGCUUUGAUUACAUAUGCCUACAAAUAUAGUCCACCUGUGAACAGUAUAUUAGUUGCAAUGUUUUCCGAAAUUUAUUUCUUCCUGUUAUAUGCCUCAAAUAACAAGAAGGGGGAUGAGAACUAGCUCAUCAUAGGUGCCAGGAUAACUUUCUGAUGUGCGCCAGACGUGUGUUUCAUCUACAAAAGACUUAGCAGGGACACUCGAAUCAAAACAAGUUAGAGACCAGAUAAAGUAGGAAGUUGAAGAGCAUUUAUAAGGACAAAAUUCCUAAAAGUUUUGAUGGCUUAAGUAAUCUAUUCCUGAAGUAGAACAUUUGUUAUAAGAAUGGUAAUACCUUCCAAAUUACACUGUAAAAUAAUUUCUAUCAUAAAUAUUGUAGUGAUUUAGGUCUGCUAAAAAAGGUUAAAAACUAGUAUGUCAGACGCUUUCAAAAGAAUUCAAGACCUCCUUAACAUACAAGUGUCCAUAUUUUAAGUAAGAGCCGAUGAAGUUUUCUAUUAUAUUGAUAUAGUUUGUCCCAAAAGGAGUAGACCACACUAUUAAAAUAUCAUUGAGAAAGCGAAGGUGGAUUUAUUUAACUUUCAUUUGUUGUCUAAAAGAUUUGCACUACGAAAUAACUGUGUCCUCGGGACAAUUUAGAAAUUGUUGAUGGGAUUAUAAGCGAUUUAAAAAAAAUUGAAAAGCUAGAUAUUGUAAUGUUUGCGAUUUCUAUAGUAAUUACUAAAGUUUCUUCAUUUACCAAAUUUAUUUAGAUGAACAUAUAUAUAUAUGCAUAUUAAAGGAUACCA